RNAcentral lists this long non-coding RNA (1061 nucleotides) under Homo sapiens (human). RNAcentral's name for it is "non-protein coding lnc-SLC22A18-3:1". Lineage: Eukaryota; Metazoa; Chordata; Mammalia; Primates; Hominidae. The record is from RNAcentral.
CCAGCCCACCACUGUGCUCCCAGAGGGAGAACAGAGAGGGGUGCAGAGGGCCAGAGAGGCACGGGGCUCCCCUGGGCACCCCUCGUCUUGGGGCCCCUGCCCUGCCUCCACUCAGAAUCCCACUAUGUGCUUGGAGCCAUGCUGGGUGCUGGGGAGACACACUAACCACUUCCCCAUAUGCUCACAGCCAGAGAGACACACAGGCCAGCAGCCUGUAAACCACUGGGUGUGGGGUGUCUGGUCCUGGAGUGACAAGGACAGGGAGGAAGAAAGCCAGGCAGGUGGCCCAUGAGCCGUGGAGUAGGUGGGGAAGGGGACAUCUCCAAGGAGGUGACAUCGGAGCAGUCCUCUAAGGAGUUUGGAGUCAUUUUCAGUCACUCACAAGCCACAGGAGGGCUUCAGCCUGAAGCUCAGAGGUGAUGUGCUUAGAUGUCACAGAGCCGGGAGGGGAACAGGCUGGGCUGCAGAGAGGAGGCCAGGCACAGUCACCUCGUGUUGCUGUCCCCCAGGUAGGAGAUAAGGGACCAGAGUCAGGGCAGGUGGGAGAAGGGGAGGUUCUUGGUUCAGCUGCUGCUGAGACAGUGACCCUGGGGACAGCCCAAAUAAGAGAGAACUUUGCCACCCGCAGGGUCCCAGAGUAGCAGAAGCUUCAGGGCUGAUGUGUGCCUGGUGAAUCAGCCUGGCCCCAGACCUCCUCUCUCUGCUUGCUUUCCUGUCCACAAUCCAGUGCUUCUGUCCUAUGGUCCCCAGCGGCUGCUCCUGCAUUCACCAUCACAUCUGCAUUCCAGCAGCAGGAGGGAGGGAAAAGAGGAGACCAAAAAUAUGUUGACAAAGGUUUGGAAGCUGGGAAGCAGGAGGACAGAUGGAGACUGGCCUAGGAGACUGGAGAGGGUAGACACCAAGCCCUGCAGGAAGAAGAGCCACCAAGAAUGAGGCAGUUCCCAACCCAGGACCCUGACAGGCAGGUCUCACCCCAGCCCAUGAAGCCAGAUGCUACUGAUUCUCAAGCUCAGCUAGAGACAGGUUGAGUCUCCAGAAAAGCUGAGCCUGAGAGGUUCUGA